RNAcentral lists this ribosomal RNA (253 nucleotides) under uncultured bacterium. RNAcentral's name for it is "partial 16S ribosomal RNA". It matches the Rfam family "Bacterial small subunit ribosomal RNA", at positions 524 to 776 of the family's 1533-position model. The record is from RNAcentral.
UACGUAGGGUGCAAGCGUUGUCCGGAAUUAUUGGGCGUAAAGAGCUCGUAGGCGGUCUGUCGCGUCUGCUGUGAAAACUCAGGGCUUAACCCUGAGCUUGCAGUGGGUACGGGCAGACUAGAGUGCGGUAGGGGAGACUGGAAUUCCUGGUGUAGCGGUGAAAUGCGCAGAUAUCAGGAGGAACACCGGUGGCGAAGGCGGGUCACUGGGCCGCAACUGACGCUGAGGAGCGAAAGCAUGGGGAGCGAACAGG